RNAcentral lists this long non-coding RNA (910 nucleotides) under Equus caballus (horse). RNAcentral describes it as "lncRNA (ENSECAG00000044162.1)". Lineage: Eukaryota; Metazoa; Chordata; Mammalia; Perissodactyla; Equidae. The record is from RNAcentral.
GCCAGGGAGUUAAUGUCCCCAGGGGUGGCCCUUGAGUAAUGACUUAUAGGAGAAGUUGGUGUAUGAGUACCCAGCUCCCUUGCUCUUCGGGCCAGUUGCUCCCCAGGCGGUAUUCAACCCUGGCUCCCCGGCUCCCCGGAAGAAUUCAUCUCCACUGCCCACCUUGGUAGCUUCCUGGAUGCUUAUGCUACCUUGGCCCCUUCUCUUCCUCAGUCCCGUGCUGGUGCUGCAAGACCUAGCUCAAUCAACUACUUGCACUUGGACCCUUGUCUCAGAGACGCCUGCCUCAGCGUGGCUUGGUAAUCGGUGUGUGGGUCCACGCCUGGGAUCUGAACCAGCAAACCCUGGGCCACCGAAGCAGAGUACGCAGAUUUAACCACUAUGCCCCUGGGCUGGCCCUGGUUGAGCAGCUUUUGGAUUUUGAUGGCGUCUGCCGUUGUCCUGGGGAAGGUGGUGUCGGUUUCCGGUUUCAUUGCGGUAACAUCUGACUAGUUCUGUGUAGCCUGGUGAUGCACUUCCCCAUGUCACCUCGUCUCACGCAGGCUGCCUGUGAGGAGCCUGGAGUCAGCUCUUGCCUGCCUGGUCCGAGCUGGUUGAGACCACUGACUCAUCCACUGGCCCUUGGAGAAUGGCCGAUAGGUGACUCUUUAACAUCAGGGGGCCAAAAACUCCACCCUCAGAUCAUGCUCAUGUCACCGAUUUGUGAACGUGUGUCCUCAAAGAGCCGUGAAGCUUGACUACGCCUGCACAGAUCAACCACCUCCCUUCUCCUACCUCUCAUCAUCUAUCCCCACACUGCGGACAGCCCUGCCUCUCUAUCCCAUAAAUAUCCCUAGUCCCCAUUUUCGAGGAGGUGGAUUUGAGACUGUUCUCCUGUCUCCUCGCUUGGCUGCCUUGUGAAUAAACCCUU